Molecule: ribosomal RNA, 253 nt
Filed under: uncultured bacterium
Lineage: Bacteria
Description: partial 16S ribosomal RNA
Rfam family: Bacterial small subunit ribosomal RNA
Source: RNAcentral
UACGUAGGCAGCAAGCGUUGUUCGGAAUUACUGGGCGUAAAGAGUGUGUAGGCGGUGUCGUAAGUUUGGCGUGAAAUCUCCCGGCUUAACUGGGAGGGUGCGCCGAAGACUGCGAUGCUUGAGGAUUGGAGAGGAAAGUGGAAUUUCUGGUGUAGCGGUGAAAUGCGUAGAUAUCAGAAGGAACACCUGUGGUGUAGACGGCUUUCUGGACAAUUCCUGACGCUGAGACACGAAAGCGUGGGUAGCAAACAGG